CGGGUGAGUAAUACAUAGGAAUCUGCCCAGUAGCGGGGGACAACUCGGAGAAAUCCGAGCUAAUACCGCAUACGCCCUACGGGGGAAAGCAGGGGAUCUUCGGACCUUGCACUAUUGGAUGAGCCUAUGUCAGAUUAGCUUGUUGGUGGGGUAACGGCCUACCAAGGCGACGAUCUGUAGCUGGUCUGAGAGGACGAUCAGCCACACUGGGACUGAGACACGGCCCAG
RNAcentral lists this ribosomal RNA (228 nucleotides) under uncultured bacterium. RNAcentral's name for it is "partial 16S ribosomal RNA". It matches the Rfam family "Bacterial small subunit ribosomal RNA", at positions 103 to 334 of the family's 1533-position model. The record is from RNAcentral.